Long non-coding RNA from Magnolia sinica, 1051 nucleotides. RefSeq lists it as uncharacterized. The transcript is spliced from 3 exons. Lineage: Eukaryota; Viridiplantae; Streptophyta; Magnoliopsida; Magnoliales; Magnoliaceae. The record is from RefSeq and is a predicted model, not a curated record.
UCCACCACAUCUAGAAAAGGACAUGGCCGGUCAAGGGUACUUGCUCUUGCUAAACAUUUGGUGAUAAAGGCGAGCGACCCUCUAUCACUUUCCCACUAGGGAAGUAUAUACCGAUGGGGCCAUGGGCAGCCAUUUUCACGACCGAGGUGGGGGUGAUAUGUCGACAGUAGGCGCCCCUUACUUGUGGGUCUUGGCAGUCCGUGCCUGAUAUUGACAAGGCAGUCAUACGCAGUUGAAUAUUGGAUAAAUUUGACAUUGACAUGGAACUUAGUAAUGUUAAAAAGGAGUUCAACAUGUCUUUGGGCAAUCGGUUCAGGCAAUAUAAGAGUCGGUGUCAUUCCUACUAUAAAAAAAAUGCGGGUCGUGAGGGGACACGACAACACCCUUACGAUGGCAUCUCCCUCGAAGAUUGGGAUAAAAUUUGCAGUAUUUUCGAGUUUGAUGCAUUCUAAGUGAGAUCUAAAUUUCAUUCAUGCUUAGUUUUCAAUAACUUUGUUAUAAGUAUUGCAAUAACUUGUUUGUACUUUUAAUGUAGAAAGGAGUAAAACAAAUGCUGAGAAUCGCUCCAAGCUUAUGGUGAAUCACACGGCUGGUUCGAAGCCGUUUGUCCGACUUCAUAAUGAGAUGUGUGACUAGGAGACCCAGGAAGAGCCUGAUCUCAUUACUUUUUAUAAGAACACACACAUUAGGAAGAAGACAGGAACUUGGGUGACUCCACGUUGUGGGGAGCUAUAUGUGAGAAUCAUUUUAACUUAUUUUAAAGUUGUUUUAUUACUUAUUCAUUUCAUAUUAAUAAUGUUUUAUUAAAACUACAAAACAAAAUGCUACAAAUCUAGACUCAAUUUCAGUCGGAGGACACUACACCAUUGACAGCAGACGAAGCAUGUUUUUGGGCCCUUGGCUCUAGAUCUGGCUACGUCCGUGGUCUUAGGCAUGGGGAAGUGCCUGCAUCGACCCAUCAUAUCUAUGUUGAUUUGGAUAAGGCUACGAGGAGGGCCAAGCAAGUAAAGGCAACGUCGGCUGAGCUGUGAGAAAUGAUAAAUGAUAUAAA